AGAGUUUGAUCAUGGCUCAGGAUGAACGCUGGCGGCGUGCCUAACACAUGCAAGUCGAGCGAUUCACUUCGGUGAAGAGCGGCGGACGGGUGAGUAACGCGUGGGUAACCUGCCUCAUACACAUGGAUAACAUACCGAAAGGUAUGCUAAUACAAGAUGAUAUAAGAGAUUCGCAUGGAUUUCUUAUCAAAGCUUUUGCGGUAUGAGAUGGACCCGCGUCUGAUUAGCUAGUUGGUAAGGUAACGGCUUACCAAGGCGACGAUCAGUAGCCGACCUGAGAGGGUGAUCGGCCACAUUGGAACUGAGACACGGUCCAAACUCCUACGGGAGGCAGCAGUGGGGAAUAUUGCACAAUGGGCGAAAGCCUGAUGCAGCAACGCCGCGUGAGCGAUGAAGGCCUUCGGGUCGUAAAGCUCUGUCCUCAAGGAAGAUAAUGACAGUACUUGAGGAGGAAGCCCUGGCUAACUACGUGCCAGCAGCCGCGGUAAUACGUAGGGGGCUAGCGUUAUCCGGAUUUACUGGGCGUAAAGGGUGCGUAGGUGGUUUCUUAAGUCAGGAGUGAAAGGCUACGGCUCAACCGUAGUAAGCUCUUGAAACUGGGAAACUUGAGUGCAGGAGAGGAAAGUGGAAUUCCUAGUGUAGCGGUGAAAUGCGUAGAUAUUAGGAGGAACACCAGUAGCGAAGGCGGCUUUCUGGACUGUAACUGACACUGAGGCACGAAAGCGUGGGGAGCAAACAGGAUUAGAUACCCUGGUAGUCCACGCCGUAAACGAUGAGUACUAGGUGUCGGGGGUUACCCCCCUCGGUGCCGCAGCUAACGCAUUAAGUACUCCGCCUGGGGA
Molecule: ribosomal RNA, 842 nt
Filed under: uncultured bacterium
Lineage: Bacteria
Description: bacterial SSU rRNA
Rfam family: Bacterial small subunit ribosomal RNA
Source: RNAcentral